RNAcentral lists this long non-coding RNA (679 nucleotides) under Homo sapiens (human). RNAcentral describes it as "HSALNT0306478". The record is from RNAcentral. Lineage: Eukaryota; Metazoa; Chordata; Mammalia; Primates; Hominidae.
UGACAGCAAUGCAUAUCUGGUUUCUCACCAUUAACUCAAAACAGUCAGAGGUGACAAGUCUGUAUGACAAAGCAAGAGAAAGAGACAGAGGUUGGAGUGCAGAAGAAAAGUACCAAGCUGAUGUCAAAUCACAAACUUCCAUCAGGAAAACAACAGCCAAGCAACAAUCAACAUUCUAACAAGCUUUAUUUGGUUAUAAAAUUCUUCAGGGAAAAUUCUAGAACUUCAGGAAUAUAACACCUUAAUGAGGCCUACUAGGUAGUGGUAUAUCAAAAUAUUGCUCUCCCUUCUUAUGCUUCUACUUAACUUUCUACACAUUUUGGCAAUGGUAGCUCAUGAAAGAAAACUGAGAGAUGGUUCAAGAGUUUCUUUAUGAGGCUGAGGUCCCUGGGCCCUGCAGAAGGACAGAUGUAAGAAAACUUGGCAAAGUUCACAGCUGCUCCAUGGCCACACAUUGAUGAAUGUAUCCCAUGUCCUUGGCUUCCUUACAUAGCAAUGCUACUGGCUGCCAAAGAAACAAAGUGAAGGGGAAUAAGAGACAGAAGGAAAUAGCCAAAUGGGAGCAGAGCUAAGAAUGCAAACACAGCUGAAUUGAUCCACUUCAAAUCUUCAUAAACAAUUCAACUGAGGAUGAAAGCAGGAAUCCAGCAGCACAUCAAAAAGCUAAUCCACCACGAAC